UAAUUGAAACCAAAGGUUAGAGGUAAAUUAUUGUUAAUAAUUAAAAUGAAUUAAAUUAUCCAAUUAA
Molecule: transfer RNA, 67 nt
Filed under: Meteorus pulchricornis
Lineage: Eukaryota; Metazoa; Arthropoda; Insecta; Hymenoptera; Braconidae
Description: tRNA-Asn
Source: RNAcentral